Molecule: ribosomal RNA, 491 nt
Filed under: uncultured bacterium
Lineage: Bacteria
Description: partial 16S ribosomal RNA
Rfam family: Bacterial small subunit ribosomal RNA
Source: RNAcentral
AGUGAACGCUGGCGGUAGGCCUAACACAUGCAAGUCGAACGGCAGCACAGUAAGAGCUUGCUCUUACGGGUGGCGAGUGGCGGACGGGUGAGGAAUACAUCGGAAUCUACUUUUUCGUGGGGAUUAACUAGGGGAAAUUAUGCUAAUACCCCCUUCGAACUUCCGGUGGAAGCCAGGGAACCUUCGACCUUUCGCGAAUGAAUGAGCCGAUGUCGGAUUAGCCAGUUGGCGGGGUAAAGGCCCACCAAGGCGACGAUCCGUAGCUGGUCUGAGAGGAUGAUCAGCCACACUGGAACUGAGACACGGUCCAGACUCCUACGGGAGGCAGCAGUGGGGAAUAUUGGACAAUGGGCGCAAGCCUGAUCCAGCCAUACCGCGUGGGUGAAGAAGGCCUUCGGGUUGUAAAGCCCUUUUGUUGGGAAAGAAAAGCAGCAGGUUAAUACCCCGCUGUUCUGACGGUACCCAAAGAAUAAGCACCGGCUAACUUCGUG